CCUACGGGGGGCAGCAGUGAGGAAUAUUGGUCAAUGGACGAGAGUCUGAACCAGCCAAGUAGCGUGAAGGAUGACUGCCCUAUGGGUUGUAAACUUCUUUUAUAAAGGAAUAAAACGAGGCACGUGUGCCUUUUUGCAUGUACUUUAUGAAUAAGGAUCGGCUAACUCCGUGCCAGCAGCCGCGGUAAUACGGAGGAUCCGAGCGUUAUCCGGAUUUAUUGGGUUUAAAGGGAGCGUAGAUGGGUUGUUAAGUCAGUUGUGAAAGUUUGCGGCUCAACCGUAAAAUUGCAAUUGAUACUGGCAGUCUUGAGAUGUCGAGAGGUAUGCGGAAUGCGCAGUGUAGCGGUGAAAUGCUUAGAUAUCACGAAGAACUCCGAUUGCGAAGGCAGCUUACUAAACUGCCACUGACAUUGAUGCUCGAAAGUGUGGGUAUCAAACAGGAUUAGAUACCCUUGUAGUC
Molecule: ribosomal RNA, 460 nt
Filed under: uncultured bacterium
Lineage: Bacteria
Description: partial 16S ribosomal RNA
Rfam family: Bacterial small subunit ribosomal RNA
Source: RNAcentral